GGUGAACGCUGGCGGCGGGCCUAAUACAUGCAAGUCGAGCGAACAGAUAAUGAGCUUUCUCCUCUGACGGUAGCGGCUGACGGGUGAGUAACGCGUGGAUAACCUACCUAUAUUACUUGGAUAACUUCGGGGAACCGCAGCUACUACUGGAUAAUAUAUUGAACGGGUUGAAUCAAUAGUUAUUGACGCUUUGGCUGACUCUAUUAGAUGGUUCCGCGUCGCAUUAGCUAGUUGGUAAGGUAACGGCUUACCAAGGCAACGAUGCGUAGCCGACCUGAGAGGAUGAUCAGCCACACUGGAACUGAGACACGGUCCAGACUCCUACGGGAGGCAGCAGUGGGGAAUAUUCGGCAAUGGGCGAAAGCCUGACGCAGCCAUGCCGCGUGAGUGAUGAAGGUCUUCGGAUCGUAAAACUCUGUUAUUAGGGAAGAAAAAAAGUGUGAGAAACCAUGCACGUCUUGACGGUACCUAAAGAGAAAGCAACGGCUAACUUCGUG
Molecule: ribosomal RNA, 497 nt
Filed under: uncultured bacterium
Lineage: Bacteria
Description: partial 16S ribosomal RNA
Rfam family: Bacterial small subunit ribosomal RNA
Source: RNAcentral